GAUGAACGCUAGCUACAGGCUUAACACAUGCAAGUCGAGGGGAAACGACAUCGAAAGCUUGCUUUUGAUGGGCGUCGACCGGCGCACGGGUGAGAAACGCGUAUCCAACCUGCCCACCACUUGGGGAUAACCUUGCGAAAGUAAGACUAAUACCCAAUGACGUCUCUAGAAGACAUCUGAAAGAGAUUAAAGAUUUAUCGGUGAUGGAUGGGGAUGCGUCUGAUUAGCUUGUUGGCGGGGUAACGGCCCACCAAGGCGACGAUCAGUAGGGGUUCUGAGAGGAAGGUCCCCCACAUUGGAACUGAGACACGGUCCAAACUCCUACGGGAGGCAGCAGUGAGGAAUAUUGGUCAAUGGACGAGAGUCUGAACCAGCCAAGUAGCGUGCAGGAGGACGGCCCUAUGGGUUGUAAACUGCUUUUAUAAGGGAAUAAAGUGAGUCUCGUGAGACUUUUUGCAUGUACCUUAUGAAUAAGGACCGGCUAAUUCCGUG
RNAcentral lists this ribosomal RNA (492 nucleotides) under uncultured bacterium. Its description in RNAcentral is "partial 16S ribosomal RNA". It matches the Rfam family "Bacterial small subunit ribosomal RNA", at positions 28 to 507 of the family's 1533-position model. The record is from RNAcentral.